This is a long non-coding RNA of Rana temporaria (common frog), 512 nucleotides long. RefSeq lists it as uncharacterized. The record is from RefSeq and is a predicted model, not a curated record. The transcript has 3 exons. NCBI's taxonomy places the organism in Eukaryota, Metazoa, Chordata, Amphibia, Anura, Ranidae.
GAUUGGAAGGUCUCGAAUGGGCUCUAUGGUAUAGGAAACUAGAAGCGAUAAGAACCAGAAGGUCUCCAAUGGGCUCUAUGGUAUAGGAAACUAGAAGCAACAAGAACCGGAAGGUCUCCAAUGGGCUCUAUGGUAUAGGAAACUAGAAGCAACAAGAACCGGAAGGUCUUCCAUGGGCUCUAUGGUAUAGGAAACUGGAAGCGACAGGGACCGGAAGGUCUCCAAUGGGCUUUAUGGUAUAGGAAACUAGAAGCGACGAGGACCGGAAGGUCUCCAAUGGGCUCUAUGGUAUAGGAAACUAGAAGCGAUGAGGACCAGAAGGUCUCCAAUGGGCUCUAUGGUAUAGGAAACUAGAAGUGACGAGGACCAGAAGGUCUCCAAUGGGCUUUAUGGUAUAGGAAACUAGAAGCGAUGAGGACCAGAAGGUCUCCAAUGGGCUCUAUGGUAUAGGAAACUAGAAGCGACGAGGACCGGAAGGUCUCCAAUGGGCUCUAUGGUAUAGGAAGCUAGAA